Molecule: small nuclear RNA, 107 nt
Organism: Nycticebus coucang (slow loris)
Lineage: Eukaryota; Metazoa; Chordata; Mammalia; Primates; Lorisidae
Source: RefSeq, a predicted model, not a curated record
GUACUCUCUUCAGCAGUAUAUAUACUAUAAUUAGAAUGAUAUAGAAAAGAUUAACAUGUCCCCUACACAAAGAUAACAACUAAAUUCAUGAAUGAUUGCAUAUUUUU